RNAcentral lists this unclassified non-coding RNA (277 nucleotides) under Hevea brasiliensis (rubber tree). Lineage: Eukaryota; Viridiplantae; Streptophyta; Magnoliopsida; Malpighiales; Euphorbiaceae. The record is from RNAcentral.
AAACUGAACCCCAAAUCCGCUACGGCACAUAAUCUAUGAUAUGGUGAUUCACUGUUUCCCCAAGAUUUUCGAAGCAUUUUAAUCAUAUAACAAUCAAAUCGACAAAAAGUAAACCAUCAAUAGUUUCAAUAAUCAAAUUAGGACGUUUAGUAAAAAAUUUCCCGCUCUUUUCUCGCAUUUGCUUAUCAGCCAAGCGGACAAACAUCAAUUUCAGUAUUCGGAGAAAGAAAUUUCGAAGAACAGUGAAAUUCUAGAGUUAAGGAAAAGUGCGAGAGAU